UUGAUCUCAAAUCAGGUAGGACUACCCGCUGAACUUAAGCAUAUCAAUAAGCGGAGGAAAAGAAACUAACAAGGAUUCCCCUAGUAACUGCGAGUGAAGCGGGAAGAGCUCAAAUUUAAAAUCUGGCGUGCCUCUGGCCGUCCGAGUUGUAGUCUGGAGAAGCGUCUUCCGUGUUGGACCGUGUACAAGUCUCUUGGAACAGGGCGUCAUAGAGGGUGAGAAUCCCGUCUUUGACACGGACCGCCAAUGCUUUGUGAUGCGCUCUCAAAGAGUCGAGUUGUUUGGGAAUGCAGCUCAAAACGGGUGGUAAAUUCCAUCUAAAG
This 323-nucleotide ribosomal RNA is filed under the name uncultured fungus. Its description in RNAcentral is "eukaryotic LSU rRNA". It matches the Rfam family "Eukaryotic large subunit ribosomal RNA", at positions 1 to 315 of the family's 3401-position model. The record is from RNAcentral. Lineage: Eukaryota; Fungi.